RNAcentral lists this long non-coding RNA (507 nucleotides) under Prunus persica (peach). RNAcentral describes it as "long non-coding RNA (PPER_LNC001781)". Lineage: Eukaryota; Viridiplantae; Streptophyta; Magnoliopsida; Rosales; Rosaceae. The record is from RNAcentral.
AGCUCUCCCAAAAUACAAUUUGGUUGCCAAGACAAUUGUUGUAAGUCUAAGUCAGUUAAUGUCCUCACUAAACAAGAAGAACAAGAAGAGUUAUUAAUUGAUUUAAUUAGCAAAGUAGAAAAUCCUGAGUUAAAAUUCGAAUAUCUGAAAAAGUUAAGAAAGGUCAUCAAUCAAGAAGAAUCAAGACAGUCUACCUCUCAAAAGAUAAGUUUGAACACAACUUUAGAAAAAUUUCAUAAAAAGAAGGAAGUUAAGCUACAAGAUUUGCAAUCAGAAGUAAAGGUAGUCAAGAAGGAAAUUUUAGAACUUAGGCAAAUAAGUCAAAAGUUACAGGUUGAAAAUUAUAAAAUAAAACAAAAUUUGAGUCACCUCCUGGAAAAAGAUGAUGCAUCCAAAGGUUUGCCUGAGAGUCCAACAAAUUCAGAGGACAAGUCCCAUGAACCUCCUAACCAAGAAUCAACUGUCAAUUUAAUUAAACAAGUCAUAUAUAUAUAUAUAUAUAUAUAU